CCUACGGGUGGCAGCAGUGGGGAAUAUUGCACAAUGGGGGAAACCCUGAUGCAGCGACGCCGCGUGAGCGAUGAAGUAUUUCGGUAUGUAAAGCUCUAUCAGCAGGGAAGAAAAUGACGGUACCUGACUAAGAAGCCCCGGCUAACUACGUGCCAGCAGCCGCGGUAAUACGUAGGGGGCAAGCGUUAUCCGGAUUUACUGGGUGUAAAGGGAGCGUAGAUGGGUUGUUAAGUCAGUUGUGAAAGGUCGGGCCCAACCCCGGGACUGCAUUGGAAACUGUCGAACUGGAGUACAGGAGAGGUAAGCGGAAUUCCUAGUGUAGCGGUGAAAUGCGUAGAUAUUAGGAGGAACACCAGUGGCGAAGGCGGCUUACUGGACUGUAACUGACGUUGAGGCUCGAAAGCGUGGGGAGCAAACAGGAUUAGAUACCCCAGUAGUC
This 439-nucleotide ribosomal RNA is filed under the name uncultured bacterium. RNAcentral's name for it is "partial 16S ribosomal RNA". It matches the Rfam family "Bacterial small subunit ribosomal RNA", at positions 338 to 795 of the family's 1533-position model. The record is from RNAcentral.